AGAUCGAAUCUUUUUUAUUCGCCCUUCAUGUCUGCCUCAGUCUCUGACCCUGGUAAUAACCGUGUGAAGUCCCGGGGAUGUUUUGAUUUCUGAGAAGACACACACGGAUUGCAGUGGGCUUCUGAUGAUGUCAAGGUUGGAUGCAUGUGGCUGACUGAUAGCUCUUUGUUUUCCACAAUCCUUUGCCUAGGAAAAAGGAAUCCAAGUGUGUUUUAACCAUGCUGACCAGCAAGGGGCAGGGAUUCCUUCAUGGGGGCUUGUGUCUCUGGCUGUGUGUGUUCACACCUUUCUUUAAAGGCUGUGUGGGCUGUGCAACUGAGGAGAGGCUCUUCCACAAACUGUUUUCUCAUUACAACCAGUUCAUCAGGCCUGUGGAAAACGUUUCCGACCCUGUCACGGUACACUUUGAAGUGGCCAUCACCCAGCUGGCCAACGUGGUGAGUGCCCUCUGAUCAGAGCUUUCCCCAGCAUUGUUACACUUUUGCAGGUGGUAAAUGAAGGAAUUUUAGAAAUACAGAUAGAUGCAAAU
Molecule: small RNA, 529 nt
Filed under: Pan troglodytes (chimpanzee)
Lineage: Eukaryota; Metazoa; Chordata; Mammalia; Primates; Hominidae
Description: retained intron
Source: RNAcentral